GCGGGAGUAACUCAGUUGGUAGAGUACAACGUUGCCAACGUUGUUGUCGCGGGUUCGAACCCCGUCUCCCGCUCCA
RNAcentral lists this transfer RNA (76 nucleotides) under Candidatus Omnitrophica bacterium CG23_combo_of_CG06-09_8_20_14_all_40_11. RNAcentral describes it as "tRNA-Gly". It matches the Rfam family "tRNA". From Rfam's summary of the family: Transfer RNA (tRNA) molecules are approximately 80 nucleotides in length. Their secondary structure includes four short double-helical elements and three loops (D, anti-codon, and T loops). The record is from RNAcentral. Lineage: Bacteria; Pseudomonadati; Candidatus Omnitrophota.